Molecule: long non-coding RNA, 397 nt
Filed under: Hordeum vulgare
Lineage: Eukaryota; Viridiplantae; Streptophyta; Magnoliopsida; Poales; Poaceae
Description: long non-coding RNA (HVUL_LNC010485)
Source: RNAcentral
UAACUCUUUUCCCACCGUCAUCUGCUGUGACGCUAAGCAUACACAUCCUAUCGUUACUUUUUGUGGCGGUAGGAUUCAGAUCAAUACAAACGAGAGUUUGAUCCAAAACCAUCGCGGUCGUGGUCAUGCUAGCACGCUUACCGGCAUACAAAAAAUAUGACGAUCACCGUCAUAGAUCACUCGUCGUCGAAUUUGAGCACGACAGCCUACAUCUUAUCGAACCACGGCAUCUUCCUUGGCUACACGGUGUUGAGACCAACCUUCAUGAUCUCCACCCCUGUCAUCAUGCUAGCGAUAGCCACUUCUUUCGUCUUGGCCUUGGCAUUGACGACAUCGAUCUCUAGCAUCUUGGCUUGCUUUUCCACCUUCAUCUCAAGCAUCUUGGUUUGCUUCUCCG